AUGCUUUUCCUAAAGAUUAAGCCAUGCAUGCCUAAGACUAUGAGGAAGCAAUUCUCUCUGAAUCUGCGAACGGCUCCGCAAACCAGUUGUAAACCAUAGCAGCGUUCCGCCCGGCUUCAGCAAUGGAGCCGGGCAUUAUAUGGAUAACCGUGGUAAUUCUGAGGCUAAUACAUGACAAACAAACCUGCCGGCCGGGGGCAACUCUGGCCAGGCGGGGGACGUGCAAAAUCCCAUUGCUAUAAACAAAACCACGAAUGAAUG
This 261-nucleotide ribosomal RNA is filed under the name uncultured Stemonitis sp. RNAcentral's name for it is "partial 18S ribosomal RNA". It matches the Rfam family "Eukaryotic small subunit ribosomal RNA", at positions 28 to 241 of the family's 1831-position model. Lineage: Eukaryota; Evosea; Eumycetozoa; Stemonitida. The record is from RNAcentral.